Molecule: ribosomal RNA, 402 nt
Filed under: uncultured bacterium
Lineage: Bacteria
Description: bacterial SSU rRNA
Rfam family: Bacterial small subunit ribosomal RNA
Source: RNAcentral
AGAAUCUUCCGCAAUGGGCGCAAGCCUGACGGAGCGAUGCCGCGUGAGGGACGAAGGCCUUCGGGUUGUAAACCUCUGUCGACGGGAACGAACACAAUGACGGUACCCGUCAAGAAAGCCACGGCUAACCACGUGCCAGCAGCUGCGGUAAUACGUGGGUGGCGAGCGUUAUUCGGAUUCACUGGGCGUAAAGGGUCCGCAGGGGGCGUGCCACGCCCGCCGUGAAAUGCCGGGGCUCAACCCCGGAGCUGCGGCGGGUACGGGUGCGCUGGAGUGCGGGAUGGGCAGAUGGAAUUCCAGGUGUAGCGGUGGAAUGCGUGGAUAUCUGGAAGAACACCGAUGGCGAAGGCGAUCUGCUGGCCCGUGACUGACCCUCAGGGACGAGAGUGUGGGUAGCGAACA